RNAcentral lists this transfer RNA (78 nucleotides) under Chloroflexota bacterium. RNAcentral's name for it is "tRNA-Glu". It matches the Rfam family "tRNA". From Rfam's summary of the family: Transfer RNA (tRNA) molecules are approximately 80 nucleotides in length. Their secondary structure includes four short double-helical elements and three loops (D, anti-codon, and T loops). Further hydrogen bonds mediate the characteristic L-shaped molecular structure. tRNAs have two regions of fundamental functional importance: the anti-codon, which is responsible for specific mRNA codon recognition, and the 3' end, to which the tRNAs corresponding amino acid is attached (by aminoacyl-tRNA synthetases). tRNAs cope with the degeneracy of the genetic code in two manners: having more than one tRNA (with a specific anti-codon) for a particular amino acid; and 'wobble' base-pairing, i.e. permitting non-standard base-pairing at the 3rd anti-codon position. Lineage: Bacteria; Bacillati; Chloroflexota. The record is from RNAcentral.
GCCCCCAUCGUCUAGCCUGGUCUAGGACACGGGCCUUUCAAGCCCGCGACAAGGGUUCGAAUCCCUUUGGGGGUACUA